CUCACAAGAACAAAAACCGGAACAACAUUAGAGCACUCAGUUCCGCCAUAACAGUAUAACUUUGCAACGAGUGCUUUUUUUCAUUUUAUCGAAGAAAGCGUAAAACCUAGUUAUAUUAUUCUAUUAUGCCCAGAGAGUGUAAAUUUGGAACGAAUCGAUUUCAACGCUCACAAGAACAAAAACCGGAACAACAUUAGACUACUCAGUUGCGCCCUAACAGUAUAACUUUGCAACGAGUACUUUUUCUCAUUUUAUCGAAGAAAGCGUAAAAUCUAAUUAUAUUGUUCUAUUAUUCCCAGAUAGUGUAAAUUUGGAACGAAUUGAUGUCAACGCUCACAAGAACAAAAACCGGAACAACUUUAGACUACUCAGUUGCGCCUAACAGUAUAACUUUGCAACGAGUACUUUUUCUCAUUUUAUCGAAGAAAGCGUCAAAACUAAUUAUAUUGUUCUAUUACGCCCAGAGAGUGUAAAUUUGGAACGAAUUGAUGUCAACGCUCACAAGAACAAAAACUGGAACAAAAUUAGGCUACUUAGUUGCGCCCUAACAGUAUAACUUUGCAACGAGUGCUUUUUCACAUUUUAUCGAAGAAAGCGUCAAACCUAAUUAUAUUGCUCUAUAAUGCCCAGAGAGUGUAAAUUUGGAACGAAUCGAUAUCAACACUCACAAAAAUAAAAACCGGAACAACAUUUGAGUACUCAGUUGCGCCUUAACAGUAUAACUUUGCAACCAGUACUUUUUCUCAUUUUAUCGAAGUAAGCGUCAAACCUAAUUAUAUUAUUCUAUUAUGCCCAGAGAGUGUAAAUCUGGAACGAAUCGAUGUCAACGCUCACAAGAACAAAAACCGGAACAACAUUAGACUACUCAGUUGCGCCAUAACAAUAUAACUUUGCAACGAGUACUUUUUCUUAUUUUAUCGAAGAAAGCGUAAAUCCUAAUUAUAUUAUUCUAUUAUGCCCAGAGAGAGUAAAUUUAGAACCAAUCGAUGUCAACGCUCACAAGAACAAAAAUCGGAACAACAAUAGACUACUCAGUUGCACCCUAACAGUAUAACUUUACAACGAGUGCUUUUUCUCAUUUUAUCGAAGAAGGCGUCAAACCUAAUUAUAUUGUUCUAUUAUUCCGAGAAAGUGUAAAUUUGGAACGAAUCGAUGUCAAAGCUCACAAGAACAAAAACCGGAACAAUAUUGGACUACUCAGUUGCGCCCUAACAGUAUAACUUUGCAACGAGUGCUUUUUCCCAUUUUAUCGAAGAAAGCGUAAAUGCUAAUUAUAUUGUUCUAUUAUGCCCAGAGAGUGUAAAUUUGGAACGAACCGAUGUCAGCGCUCACAAGAACAAAAACCGGAACAACAUUAGACUAAUCAGUUGCGCCCGAACAGUAUAAUUUUGCAACGAGUGAUUUUUCUCAUUUUAUCGAAGAAAGCGUCAAACCUAAUUAUAUUGUUCUAUUAUGCCCAGAGAGUGUAAAUUUGGAACGAAUCGAUGUCAACGCUCACAUGAACAAAAAUCGGGACAACAUUAGACUACUGAGUUGCGCCCUAACAGUAUAAAUUUGCAACGAGACCUUUUUCUCAUUUUAUCGAAGAAAGCAUCAAACCUAAUUAUAUUGUUCUAUUAUGCCCAGACAGUGUAAUUUUGGAACGAAUCGAUGUCAACGCUCACAAGAAUAAAAACCGGAACAACAUUAGACUACUCAGUCGCGCCCUAACAGUAUAACUUUGCAACGAGUACUUUUUCUCAUUUUAUCGAAGAAAGCGUCAAACCUAAUUAUAUUGUCUAUUAUGACCAGAGAGUGUAAAUUUGGAACGAAUCGAUGUCAACGCUCACAAGAACAAAAACCGGAAGAAAAUUAGACCACUUAGUUGCGCCCUAACAGUAUAACUUUGCAACGAGUACUUUUUCUCAUUUUAUCGAAUAAAGCGUAAAACCUAAUUAUAUUGUUCUAUUAUGCCCAGAGAGUGUAAAUUUGGAACGAAUCGAUGUCAACGCUCACAAGAACAAAAACCGGAAUAACUUUAGACUACUCAGUUGCGCCAUAACAAUAUAACUUUGCAA
Molecule: long non-coding RNA, 2057 nt
Filed under: Ananas comosus (pineapple)
Lineage: Eukaryota; Viridiplantae; Streptophyta; Magnoliopsida; Poales; Bromeliaceae
Description: long non-coding RNA (ACOM_LNC038165)
Source: RNAcentral